GCCUUUGAUGUACUCUCUUAAAUAAUGGACCAGGAACCUUUUUCUAGUUCAUCCUGUUCCAGCUCCUGUAUGAGCUGAAAAAAAAAAUCAGGUGCUCCAUUUCUCCUUUAAAACCAUUUCCUGGCUCUGACUCUUUAUUCUUCACCAUUUCAGACUUUCAUUUUCUCAGGUGUCUUAUCCCCUUCUGAGCAGGACAAAAAUCACCCUAGCAGGGUGCUGGCCAACCCACAAUAGUUACUUACCUCGUUUUUUGCCUUUGUUUUAACUUUCUGAGUUGUUCAUAUAUUUUAGAUAUCAAUCUUUUGUCUUUUAAAGAAUGGGUAAGUACAUCCUCCAAUCCUGUAUGUUGUCUCUUGAUUCUAUUUAUUGUUUACUUCAGUGUGCAGAAGGAUUUUAAUUUGAUGUAAUCCUUUUGCUUUUCUUUCUUGUGCUUUGGAAGCCAUAUCCAAAACCAAAAACCAAAUAAACAAAUAGAAAACAAAACCCAGACAUCCAAGCAAACAACUGUCCCCCUGACAAAAUAGCCUAAACAUUGCUUCUACUAAUGUCUUGAUGAGUUUCUGCUAUGUUUUCUUCUAGUAGUUUCAGUUUCAGGACUUAUAGUUUUAUCUUUGACCCAUUUUGAGUUUAUUUUGUACAGAAUGAGAGAUGGGGAUCAAGUUUACAUCUUCUGCAUGUGAAUAUAUAGUUUUUAUAGAUUAUUAAAAAGUAUAUUAAAGAGAAUGUUCUUUUCCCCAUGUAUGUUGUUAGUACUUUCUUUGAGCAUCAGUUGACCAGAUGUGCAAGAGAAGAAUUUUUGUUAAUUUUUCUAUAAAUGUUUGAUAAAUUUCAGCAUUAGCUCCAUCCAAUCCCAGCAUUUUAUUUCUUGGGAGAAGUUUUAUUAUUGAUUAAAAUUAACAUCUUGUUAUUGGUGUGCUUUUUAUAUCUUCAUACUUCAAUUUUGCUUGGUUUUCUGUCUUCAGAAAUUCAUCCAUUUUCUCUAGGAGUUACCUUUUGUUUCAUAGUUUUUGAAGUACUUUCAAUAGUGUUUUACAUUUCUCUGAUAUUUAGUUGUAAUGUCUUCUUUUUAUAAUUGAUUUCAUUUUGUGUGUGUUCUUUCUUUGUUUAAGCCUAACUAAAUGUUGGUAUAUAAUGUUAUCAUAAAAACUUUGUUUCACUGAUAUUUUGUGUUUUUAAUCUCUAUUUUGCUCAUUUCUUUGGGUUCUUUCUCAUUUCUUUCCUUCUAUUAAUUUUGUUUAGUUUGCUUUUAUGUCACCAGGUUAUUGACAUGCUCCAUUAGGUUAUUUUUUUUUAUUGGUUGUUCAAAACAUUACAAAGCUCUUGACAUAUCAUCUUUCAUACAUUUGAUUCAAGUGGGUUAUGAACUCUCAUUAGGUUAUUUAUUAGAAACAUCAAUAUUUUUUGAUAUGAAAGUUUAUUGCUAUAACGCCCUUAUCAAUAGUGCUUUUUUUGGUGUGCUGGGUUAUUGUUUGUUUCUAUAAAGAGAGAAAGGGUCAGGCUAUUGCCUGUUGGGUUAAAGGAAGAUAGUAGAGAUGCUCAUCUUGUGGUAGGGACUUUCUCAGAACAAAGGAAAAAUAACAAGGCACUAUCAGUAUGAAUGUCCACAUUCCACAAUGUUGUAACACUGUUGCAACACUCUACUGUAGAAAUAGAAUGCACAAUCAGAAUGUGUAUUACCUUGCAUGGGUGAAAAAGAGCUGGCAAGUAAAAGAGGAAGUAACAAGAGAUACAUAAAGGCAACUCCUUCUUUCAGGGAUCAGCCUUUGGAUAUGAAGCCACUAGGCCGAUGCUGGCACUAAUAAACACUGCUUUUUGCUGAAUGACACCCUGUCUCUUGUGUGAGAAUCCCACAACAAUCUCAUGGGGAAUAAAGUGAAUGAGCUAAUGAGCAUCUAAGUUUAUUUUGUCCAAAACAAGAGCGUAUGGUUCUAUCAGAUUCAGAGCCAGAACUUGUUGGUUUAGAAUCGAAAGCUCUGUAAGUGACACAGCAAAUUAUUGCUUUUCUGUGUCCUGGAUAAAGAGUUUAUCUAGAUUUUGGUAGUUGAAAAUUCUAAAGUUCAAAAAACCAAAUCUUUCUGAUCCCCAUUUUGAUCAGUGGAUGCUGCAAUGAUUUAACUCAAUGUUUAUUUUAAAAAAUCAAUGAUUAUGUCCCUCUCCCAGCCUCCCUCGUUUGCUCCUCAUCUCCCUCCUCCUUUUCUCUCUAACACACAUUGGCUUGGAUCUCCUCUCUCCUGCUCCAUUUUCUCUGCUUCCAGGGGCUGGGGUUGCUGUUGGGGGCCCGGCUGGUACUCAGCACUGGAGUGAAAUCACAGGGGAGCUGGUGAGGGACAGAUGGGCAGAGGCUGGGCAGAGGGAAUCAUGGCCUGAGAGUUUGUGUGUGGGGGGAAGUAACCAUGUUGGGGGGGGAAAGUGCAAGGAAGGAGACUCAGUCCCCACCCCAGCUAUGGACUAGAUGUGGAAGUUCUUUGGUGAUGAUUAGUUUACUUUAAUAAAACAUAUAUUUUGUCAGAACUUGAGGAUCUCCUUCUCUGCAGUUUUCACAAGACUGUAUGGUCCUUCUGGUAGGGUGGGCAUUUGUGUUGUACACAUAAGGGUAUAUGUAGAAUAUCCUCUGUGAUUGCUCUUCUAGACUUCAAAACUCUGGAUGUUCCAAAAGGGUGUGGGAGCAAUCUAAGUUGAGGUCCUUUAUGUAUGUGGUGUCCAUGAUUCUUGUGUUAUUUCUGUUGUUGCUUUUAGAGUAAAUGUCCAUUAGUAGGACCUUAGACUCACCCUAGUCUUUUCUACUUGGGGCCUGUCCAUUUUUUAAUUUUUAAAAACUUGUUCUUUUGAAUCCUCAUAAUGUACAAUUAUUUCCUAUUUCUUUUUUUGUUGAAAUUUUGCUGAUAUUUGAGUGGAGUUAAGUUCUAGGUAGAACAAAGUGCACUCUCUCUUAGCUGAUUGGGUAUUAACUCAGCAGUAAAGUAUCAGCUCUGUGAACCUGUAGUGUCACACUAGAUUUCCAGCACCACAGAGAAAAGAAGGAAAUAAGCAAGAGUAACAAAACAAUAUUCAUAUUUUUUAAAAAAAUAAAUGCAUACUAUGCAUCUAUGACACAAAUAACCACAAACACAAACAAGAAUACUGGGAUCAACUAUUAACAACAGCAAUGCGAAAAAACAGUAAUCCAGAUAUAGCAUUAUAGUAAACACCAGAUGUCAAUUAUGGUGUCCAGAGUACUAAUAAGUGCAACAUGUAUGGUGGGGGUGGAGAUUAUACAAUGAAUUUGUUCAAAAGAUUUUAAAAAUAUAAUAAUUAAGAAAAAAGAAAAUGGGUUAUGAAGACAAAAGAAAGUUUUAAAUAUUCAAAAGGUGAAAAGAAAGAAAGCAAUAAACAACAAGUAAGGCCAUAAGGAAGGAAAAAAAUAAAAGAAUAAGGGUAUCUGGUUUCUAGAAAGAUAAAGUGGGAGAAAGAGUAAUAAGAAAAAAAAAUGACCAAAAAAUCCACUAACCCUCAAAAAAUAAAACAGUGCAAAAUAACAAAAUGAUAAUAAAAAAGUCAUAAAAAAUGAAAAAGGGAUAAAAUUGUGGAGAUACACAUACAUGUACAAACUAAGUAGCACAUAAAGCAAAAAAAAUAAGCAAAAAAAUUCUUAAAUCAAAAAUGAAAGAAUUAUUCCAAUGCAGUUAAUUGAAACUAUGGAAGAGGAUGCCAGCUAGCAAUUCUUUUCUUUUUUGUCUAUUCACCCCUUAGAGAGAGCAAGAGCUCUUGUUUUAAUGCAGGAAUAUGAAAUGAUUGGUUUGUGAGAGCAGAAUCCUACUCAGUGCAUCCUAGUUUGAAUGGACUGGGUGGCAACUGUAGGCAGGUGGGGUUGACUGGAGGAGGUGGGUCGUUGGGGGUGACCCCUUCCUCUCUCUUUCUCUCUGAUUACUUGCUACCGUGAGGCAAGCAGCUUCCCUCUGCCAGAACCAUCCCUCCAUGAUUUUCUGCCUGACCUUGAACCCAGAGCAAUGGAGUUGGCUAUCUGGACUGAAACAUCUGAUACUGUGAGGCAAAAUAAACUUUUCCUCUUCUAAGUUGUUGUGUGGUAUUUUGGUCAUAGUAACAGAAAAGCUGACCACACCACUUGGGGUCGUAUGGUAGAUCUAUAAUUUUUUAGAAACCUCCAGACUGUCUUUAUAUUGGCUAUAGUAAUUUACAUUUCUCCUAAUAAUGCAUGAGACUUCCCUUUUCUCCACAUUCUAUCAAAAAUUCAUUUUUAUGGUUUUUGAGCUUCUAUUACUGUUGUUGCUAUUGAUUUAUUUGCUUUUUGUUUUUUUAAUGUUAGUCAUUAUAACUGGAGGGAUUUCACAUCAUAUUAUAGUUUUUAAUUUUUAUUUUCCUGAUGGCUAAUGAUACUGACCAUUUUUUCAUAUGUGUUGGGCAUUUUUGAGAAUUGUCCAUUAGAUAAUUUUUUCAUUCUUCACUUGGACCACUUGUUUUUAGUUUUAUUUUUUUGAGUUUUUUUAUAUAUUUGGGAUAUUAAUCUUUUGUCAAAUGAAUAUAUGGCAAAUAUUUUAUCCCAUCCUAUAUGUUGUCUCUUCAAUUUGUUGAUUGCUCACUUUGAUGUAUAAUAAUUUUAGUUUGAUGUAAUGCAUUUGUGCAUUUUUGCUUCUGUUUCCCAUGCUUUGGGGUCAUAUAUGAAAAAUAUUGCUUCUGUCAGUGUCUUGUGGAAUUUCCCCUGUAUAUUCUUCCAGCAGUUUUAGAGCAUCAGAUCUUCCUUUAAUGACUUUGACACAUAUUGAAUUUAUUUCUGGGAUCUCUAUUCUUUCCAUUGUCUAUUUUACCUUUUUCAUUUUUUUUUUAAGUUUCAUGCUGCUUUGCUUACUAACACUCUGUAGUGUGUCUAGAUAUUAGGAAUUAGGAUGCCUCUAGCUUUGUUCCUUUUGUUCAAGAGGUUAUUAGCUAUUUAGGGUCUUCUAUGCAUUUAUUCAAAUUUUAAGGCUGUUAUUUCCAGUUGUGUAAAAAAAUCCACUGGGAUUUUCAUGGGGAUUGUACUGAAUCCUUAAAUUUCUUUGAGUUUCAUAGUCCUUUUAAUAGUACAAAUUAUUCCAAUACAUGAAUAUUAGAGAUAUUUCUAUUUUUCUCUCUCUCCUUCUUUGUGCAUUUUCUUCAAUUUCCUUCAUCAGUGUUUUGUGAAAACAUAAAGAUGUCUCACUUCCUUGGUUAGAUUUAUUCCUCAAUAGUUUAUCAUUUUAUUGUAGGUUUUAUGAAUGGGAUUUAUUUCAUGUUUUCUUCCUCAGAAGUCAUAUUGACAAGGACACAUUGAACAGCAACAGAAGUGGUUCCAUCUGGGAGUGACUGGAGGACAGAGGAUACACUAUUUCUCAAGUUCUUCCCCUUCAGUUCUCUGAGAUUGGAUCUUCCUCGGUUCUGCUGAGAAUGUUUCACCUGUGUAGUAAUGGAGGAAGGCAAAGCCUUAUCUACUUCCAUGUUUAUAGCAGCAAAAUUCACAAUAGCCAAGAUAUGGAAACAACUUAGAUGCCUGUCAAUCGAUGACUGGAUAAAGAACAUUUUAUAUCUAUAUACAAUGGAGUAUUUUUCAGCCGUAAAGAAGAAUAAAAUUAUGGCUUUCACUGGUAAAUGGGUGUAACUGGAGACCCUCUGCUAAGUGAAAUAAGCCACACUCAUGAACACAAAGUUCAAAUGUUUUUUAUGAUAUGCAGAAGCUAGACCAAAAUAAGGGGGGAGGAAAUGAAAAUUUCAUUUCUUGAAAUGAAAUUUCAUGAAAAUGGAAAAGAGAGCAGUGGAAUGGAGGAAGGUGAUUGAGGAGAAGGGAGGAGGGAGGGGAAAACAAAAAAUGGUGGAAUGCAUCUGACCAAUCUUACCUAUGUACAUGUAUGAAUAUACUACACUGAAUCUUACCUUCAUGUAUAUGCACAAAGCAAUAAUUUUUAAAAAUGCAAAUAAUAAGAAGAAAGAUCAAUAUAGUAGAGAGAAGGGAACAGAGGCAGGAGGAGGAAAGGAAAGGAGAAGUAGUAGAGAAUGAGUUAGAACAAAUUGUAUUCAAUACUUGUAUAAACAUCAAAAGAAGCUUUAUAUUAUGUAUAACUAAUAAAACAAGCAUCUGUACUCCAAAAAAUGAAAUUUUAUUCAACAUCAAUAAAGA
This 6124-nucleotide long non-coding RNA is filed under the name Marmota monax (woodchuck). Lineage: Eukaryota; Metazoa; Chordata; Mammalia; Rodentia; Sciuridae. The record is from RNAcentral.